UACAGAGGGGGCAAGCGUUGUUCGGAAUUACUGGGCGUAAAGGGCGCGUAGGUGGCCUUCUAAGUUGAACGUGAAAUCCCUGGGCUCAACCCAGGAACUGCGUCCAAGACUGGGAGGCUUGAAUCCGGGAGAGGGAUGCAGAAUUCCAGGUGUAGCGGUGAAAUGCGUAGAUAUCUGGAGGAAUACCGGUGGCGAAGGCGGCAUCCUGGACCGGCAUUGACGCUGAGGAGCGAAAGCCAGGGGAGCAAACGGG
RNAcentral lists this ribosomal RNA (253 nucleotides) under uncultured bacterium. RNAcentral's name for it is "partial 16S ribosomal RNA". It matches the Rfam family "Bacterial small subunit ribosomal RNA", at positions 524 to 776 of the family's 1533-position model. The record is from RNAcentral.